Molecule: long non-coding RNA, 1119 nt
Organism: Siniperca chuatsi (mandarin fish)
Lineage: Eukaryota; Metazoa; Chordata; Actinopteri; Centrarchiformes; Sinipercidae
Exons: 4
Source: RefSeq, a predicted model, not a curated record
UGACAACUUGUUUACUUCCUUGUGUAGCAGACCCUUUAAAAUGAGCCGUGUGCUACUAUGUGGGAGGUUGCAUCGCUCUUUCCUGACCUCAUUGUUGCGUUUGAGGGAGAUGAACAUCAGACUAAGGAACGAGGAACAUGGUGUUGGCUUCCUGUAUGACCUAGUCCUGCUGUAUUUUGCGAAGGAAAGAAAUGUGGAGGUGGAGCUGAGCUGUGGCCCUGGUGUCUGAGCUGGUUGAAACCUAGAGACAGGGGGAGCGGUGUCCAGGUCUUUGUCUGUCUUCCUAGACAGCGGAGCUGGCUGCUGUGCAGAUCCCCCACACACAUCAAUUCACACCUAAGAGGAAUGUGGAGGAGGUGUGAGGCUGACUACUUCUCUUCUGUCCUGUCAGCUAAUCUUCUCUGUAUCUGUUCCAAUUUAUCAUAUGUGCUACCUGUCCUGUCCACCCCAAACAGCAGUAAAUCACACCUGAAUGAGAUGCUGGGGUGGGGAUACUCUCUUCCAUUUCAAAACUCUACAGAGAUUUCCAGUAUUUUCACAUUCAGUAUAAAAUCACAAACUUAAAUAAAUACAAUUCAAUGGCCAAAGCAUGUUUUCAAAGUGUGAAUGGAAGUGAAAAAAUAUUACAUUAGUUAUUACAUUUGUUAUCAAAAGGAGAUCACAUAGAAUAGUCUAAAUGUGUGCGAGUCAUGUGAUUGAUGUGAGUCAGAAACUAAUACAUGCCUUGGGACAUUUUUUAUGUAUUUGGUGUAGUCUGAAGUUAUGAAGUUGUUGAGUGUAACAUAAUCAUGAUCCAAGAAUUGCUCAAAACUAAGCAAGUAAAAUAAGUGGGGAUGAGGGGAUGCUUUUUUCUAUUCCUGAGGGGAGGCCCACUGUCUCAGACUUUGAAAACCUCUGAUUUAUACUAUUUGUAAGAGAGCUCACUUUUACAGAAAGAAAUAACUUUUAUACAGAGUAAACCUUUACGAAUGGACAGUCAAUUUUGUCAAAGUUCGUUACUAAUUUUACAAAUGUUUUUUUUAGCCAAGAUGUUCACAUUUAGCUUAGCACGAAGUGCACUAUUAUUGUGAUAUUGCAAACAAGGUUUUUGUAAAAUAAAUACAUUUACCCUUCUUCAAA